Anolis carolinensis (green anole) is the source of this 5348-nucleotide long non-coding RNA. RefSeq lists it as uncharacterized. The transcript is spliced from 3 exons. The record is from RefSeq and is a predicted model, not a curated record. Lineage: Eukaryota; Metazoa; Chordata; Lepidosauria; Squamata; Anolidae.
UCUUCCCGGCGUUCCCGCGCUUUUCCUUCCUGAGGAGAAUUUUACCUCAGAAGCGUCUCCUUCGAUCAUGGCGCCCUCGCUCGCUCGCUCGCCCGCUUCCUGCUCUCCUCGCCCUCUUCUCCGCCCCCGAGGCGGGCCUUGGGCUUCCUACGUGCCCGGGAGGCCGCCCCCAGGGAAGGCAUGCCCGAGGCAUCCUUUGGACCCAAGGAGGGUCCCCACGUUCACUUGAAACACGCCUUUGGGACUCCCUCAGAAGGAGAAGGAACAUAGGCAGGAAAGCCAGGACUUCGCAAUUUGGCCCCUUCAGAAGCUCUCUUCACUCAUUUUUAAACAUGAAGGAGAGGCCUCCAUUCAAAACAAGAGUUUUAUCUCAUCUUUGACUGGAUCCACCCAUCAAGAAUGGAGCCUGCCUCUCCUUUGUUGAUGUUUUCUAUUUAAAAUUGAACCACUGGGACUCCAUGAAUGAGAGACUUCCAACUCAAAACAACUUCUAUCUCCAAUUCUGUGGAACUCAUUGCCUCCAUAUGUUAGAGCAAUGUCGGAGUUGCGACCUUUUGUAAAAGCGCUCAAGACUUGGCUGUUUGGUUGUGCAUUUAAGUAAAUCAGAUCUAAUCUGCCAAAUAGUCACCGUUGAAUGUUUUUAUGUUGAAUGUUUUUUAUAUUGUGGAAUGAUAUUUUAAAUUGUAAGUCCCUCGGAGUACUCUGGUGGAGAGCGACUAAUUAAGAAAUAAAGUGAAGUGAAGCGAACUUCUACUUGGCCCCUUCAGCAGCUCUCUUCAGCCAUUUUUAAACAUGAAGGAGAGGCCUCCAUUCAAAACAACAGUUUUAUCUCAUCUUUGACUGGAUCCACCCAUCAAUAACGAAGCCUGCCUCUCCUUUGUUGAUGUUUUCUAUUUAAAAUUGAACUCCUGGGACUCCAUGAAUGAGAGACUUCGACUCAGAACAACUUCAACUUGGCUCCUUCAGCAGCUCUCUUCACUCAUUUUUAAACAUGAAGGAGAGGCCUCCAUUCAAAACAACAGUUUUAUCUACUCUUUGACUGGAUCCACCCAUCAAGAAUGGAGUCUGCCUCUCCUUUCUUGAGGUUUUCUAUUUAAAAUUGAACUACUGGGACUCCAUGAACGAGAGACUUCGACUCAAAACAACUUCAUCUUGGCUCCUUCAGCAGCUCUCUUCAGCCAUUUUUAAACAUGAAGGAGAGGCCUCAAUUCAAAACAAUAGUUUUUUUAUUUCACCUUUGACUAGGAGCCUCCAGUGGCCUAGGGGAUUAAAGCCUUGUGACUUGAAGGUUGGGUUGCUGACCUGAAGGCUGCCAGGUUCGAAUCCCACCCAUGGAGAGCGCAGAUGAGCUCCCUCUGUCAGCUCCAGCUCCAUGCAAGGACAUGAGAGAAGCCUCCCACAAGGAUGGUAAAACAUCAAAACAUCCGGGCAACAUCCCCUGGGCAACGUCCUUGCAGAUGGCCAAUUCUCUCACUCCAGAAGCAACUCCGGUUGCUCCUGACACGAAAAAAAACGGAAGGAGAGGCCUCCAUUCAAAACAACAGUUUUAUCUCAUCUUUGACUGGAUCCACCCAUCAAUAACGAAGCCUGCCUCUCCUUUCUUGAUGUUUUCUAUUUAAAAUUGAACUACUGGGACUCCAUGAAUGAGAGACUUCGACUCAAAACAACUUCAGCUUGGCUCCUUCAGCAGAACUCUUCAGUCAUUUUAAAACAUGGAGAAACCUCCAUUCAAAACAACAGUUUUAUCUCAUCUUUGACUGGAUCCACCCAUCAAUAACGGAGCCUACCUUCCUUUCUUAAUGUUUUCUAUUUAAAAUUGAACUACAGUAAAGUCUCACUUAUCCAACAUAAACAGGCAGGCAGAACGUUGGAUAAGCAAAUAUGUUGGAUAAUAAGGAGAGAUUAAGAAAAAGCCUAUUAAACAUCAAAAUGGGUUAUGAAUUUACAAAUUAAGCACCAAAACAUCAUGUUAUACAACAAAUUUGACAGAAAAAGUAGUUCAAUACACAGUAAUGCUAUGUUGUAAUUACUGGAUUUACGAAUUUAGCACCAAAAUAUCAUGAUAUAUUGAAAACAUUGACUACAAAAACGGCUUGGAUAAUAAUCCAGAAGCUUGGAAAAGCGAAGCUUGGAUAAGUGAGACUACUGUACUGGGACUCCAUGAAUGAGAGACUUCGACUCAAAACAACUUCAACUUGGCUCCUUCAGCAGUUCUCUACAGUCAUUUUUAACUAUGAAAACAAUAGUUUUAUUUCACCUUUGACUGGAUCCAUCCAUCAAGAAUGGAGCCAGCCUCUCAUUUCUGCUAUUUUCUACUUUAUUUGGAAGGUUUUCCAUUUGAAAUUUAUCAACAGAGACUCCAUGAAUGAGAGACUUCAACUCAAAACUGGAUCCAUCCAUCAAGAAUGGAGUCUGCCUCUCUUUUCUUGCUGUUUUCUAUUUAAAAUUAAACUCCGGGGACUCCAUGAUGAGAGACCUCAACUUGGCUCCUUCAGCAGCUCACUUCAGUCAUUUUUAACUACGAAGGAGAGACCUCAAUUCGAAACAGUAUUUCACCUUUGACUUGAUCCAUCCAUCAAGAAUAGAGUCUGCCUCUCUUUUCUGCUGUUUUUUCUCUUUAUUUGGAAGGUUUUCCAUUUAAAAUUUAACUACAGAGACUCCAUGAAUGAGUCACUUCAACUCAAACCAACAGUUUUAUCUCUUCCUUGACUAGAUCCUUCCACCAAAAAUGGAGUCUUUCCAUUCUUUCUUUCUUGCUGUUUCUUUAUUUGGAAGGUUUUUCAUUUACUGCAGAGACUCGAUGAAUGAGAGAGACCAACUCAAAACCAAGUUUUAUCUCAUCUUUGACUGGAUCCAUCCACCAAGAAUGGAAUCUUCCCCUCUUUUCAUGUUGUUUUCUAUUUUAUUUGAAAGGUUUUCCCAUACUUUGGUGUUCAGUCAUUAAUCAGAAUUAAUCCCAAUAAUCAGGCUGUCAGUCAAGGGACAGCCAUGAAGGAAAAUUGAUACGAUUCCCAAGCAUAAAGAUGUGGCAGCAUCGAUGACUCAAUAAUCAGAAUUAUCCAUACCAUUGUGUUUAACAUUUCUGUAUAUGUAUGGUCUCCAGAAUAAUACAUACCAUUUUAUAAUGUAUGGUUCUGGAAGCUGGACUGUGAAGAAAGCUAGUAAGAAGAAAUUAAACUGAUUUGAAAUGUGCCGUAGGAAACUGUUCUGUGAAUAAUAUGGAUGGCUAAAAACGGAGGGGGGCCAAAAGCAAACUUCUCUACUCUUCAAUUUUAAAACAAAAAGGUGGGAGAUAAAAAAAAAUAAGAUCAUUGGAGGCUGUUUCACUUCCUAAACAGCAAUGUAAGGGCAAGGAGCCCAGAACCAUAGAAGCCAGCUCACUGAAAGUCUUUGGGAAAUCACACUCUCUCAGCUUCAGAGAAAGGCCAUGAAGAUGUAUUGAUAAGAGAACUCUAUGAGAAGCAAUGGCCAUCAGUGGACCUCAAAGCACAACAUGAGGAUGACAACAACAAUAAAGCAGCAGCCCUGAGGCAUAAAGGUUCAGAGACAGAGGGAAGUUACAGACCGAAGAUGUUGCAGAAGAUAUUGCAGCAGAAACUAAAAAAGGAGAAACGCCAAGGGCUCAGAUGGAUGACAGCACCAAGGAGACCCUGAGUAAACCACCCUCUCUCAGCGUCAGAGAAAGGCAAAGGCAAACUCCUUCUGGAUCAAUCUUGCCAAGAAAGUCUUACAAUCACCUUAAGUUGGAAAUAACUUGAAGGCAGAUAAUAAAGUUAACAUAAAGAUAUAACUUGGACACAAGCUUUAUAGGAAUGUGUAAGUCAUAAUCAGCAAUUUGAAUUGAAUUUGGGACCAUUAACAUCAUGACUUGAGAUGAAACUUGUAGCAGCCGUGAUUGCAAAAGCGAAGUCUGAAAAAAGAUACUGUGUAGUUAGAGAAAGUGAAGGAAGGGCAAAAGGAACAAGGGAUUAGAGAAACUCCCCUCAUGAUUUUGCAGCUUGGAAAAGAAAAAAAACAUGUGACAUAAUACAAUUCUUGAAUUUUCAACUUGGAAGGGGGCCGGGCUGUGGCGCAGCUGGCUAGUAACCAGCUGCUAUAAAUCACUACUGACCGAGAGGUCAUGAGUUCGAAGCCCGGGUCGGGUUAAACCUCCAACCAUAAAAAAAUAAAAAUAAAAAAAUAGCCCCGGCUUGCUGUUGACCUAGCAGCCCCGAAAGACAGUUGCAUCUGUCAAGUAGGGAAAAUUUAGGGACGCUUUAUGCGGGAGGCUAAUUUAACUAAUCUACAACACCAUAAAACUGCUCACGAGGAAAAGAAGAGGAAGAACAGCCACCAAUGGACGGUGAAGCAACAGCUCCCCCUGUGGCCGGAAAUCGUGAAGCUGGAAAGAUGUUAAAAAAUGCCUCUGUGUCUGUCUAAAACUGAAUGUUGUUUGUCUAUUGGCAUUGAAUGUUUGCCAUAUAUGUGUUCAUUGUAAUCCGCCCUGAGUCCCCUUCGGGGUGAGAAGGGCGGAAUAUAAAUACUGUAAAUAAAUAAAUAAAUAAAUGGCUUCUCAGGCUUUCUUAUAUGGGGGAGCAGAAACUAUUCUCUGUUUCUCUCUACAACUGUUUCUUUCCUGGAAACUUAACCCGGGGCCAGGGUCAAUGGCUCAGGAACUGGCACUAGUGUGGGGACCGUCACUGUGAGCAACAGCAAUCUAGACCAGGGCUUCUCAGGAUAUCUGAUGUGGAAAAUUGGCAAUUUUCCCCUCCAAAGUGUUAUGGACCAGUACCUUAUUUGUUUGCAACUGUUUCUUUCUUUCUAGGAAACUUGCUGUUGAUCGGGGACCACCAUUUUGAGCAGCCCUGAUCUAGAAAAUCCAUGGCAAAAGAUGGCCAUCUGACUAAAAGUGAAGGACAGUCCACCACAGUCUGUUUCACUGUCCAAUCGCACUUGCUAAUGGGUUUUUUUCCCUAAUGCUUAGUGAGGGUCUAUUUCUUGGAAUCUAGUUCUCUGAUUCAGGCCUUGGUUUCUGGAGCAGCCAAAAACAAGCUUACUCCAACCACAUGAAGUCCCAUCAGACAGCAUUAUCAUGUCAUCCUUCUGUUUUCUCUUCCCCAAACUCCCUACAAGAUUGUUUCCAGACCCUUUCGGAGUAAUAUAACAUUGAUAAGAAGAAGCCUUUCUCCCGUCUUCACAAUACUGGAACCCAGUGAGAUCUUCCAAUGGUGGGCAAUUUGAGACAAAUAAAGAGGAUUCCAUCACACUGUGCACAAUUAAAAUAUAUAUUAUACUAUGGAUGGCUGUAGAGUCAGGGAGAACCCAGGUAUCUCUCGGACCUUCACAGCUCAUUCUCUCUGUGUCUUACC